RNAcentral lists this ribosomal RNA (397 nucleotides) under uncultured bacterium. Its description in RNAcentral is "partial 16S ribosomal RNA". It matches the Rfam family "Bacterial small subunit ribosomal RNA", at positions 523 to 918 of the family's 1533-position model. The record is from RNAcentral.
AUACGUAGGUGACAAGCGUUAUCCGGAUUUACUGGGCGUAAAGGGCGUGUAGGCGGUCUUGCAAGUCAGAAGUGAAAUUCCUGAGCUCAACUCGGGCGCUGCUUCUGAAACUGCAGGACUUGAGUGCUGGAGGGGAUAGCGGAAUUCCUAGUGGAGCGGUAAAAUGCGCAGAUAUUAGGAAGAACACCGGUGGCGAAGGCGGCUAUCUGGACAGUAACUGACGCUGAGGCGCGAAAGCGUGGGGAGAAAACAGGAUUAGAUACCCUGGUAGUCCACGCCGUAAACGAAGAAUACUAGGUGUAGGGGGUAUCGACUCCCUCUGUGCCGCAGUUAACACAAUAAGUAUUCCGCCUGGGGAGUACGGCCGCAAGGUUGAAACUCAAAUGAAUUGACGGGG